Molecule: long non-coding RNA, 1333 nt
Filed under: Marmota monax (woodchuck)
Lineage: Eukaryota; Metazoa; Chordata; Mammalia; Rodentia; Sciuridae
Source: RNAcentral
UGACUUAAGCAAUAGAAACUUACUUUCUUACUGUUCUGGAGACCAACAAUGUCGGCAGGUUGAUUCUUUCUGAGGGCUGAGAAAAAAAAAAAAAAUCUGUUAUAGGCCUUUCUGCUUGGCUAUAGAUGAUUGUCUUCAUGUUACCACGGCUUUCUCUCUACAUGUCUGUUUCUGUGUCCAAUUUCACCCUUGUAUAAGGAUGACAGUUUAUUGGUUUAGGUCCCGUUCUAUGACCUCAUUUUAACUGAAUUACCACUGUGAACACCCUGUCUUCAAAACUGUCACAUUAUGAGGUACUACAGGUUAGGAUUCUACCUUUAGGAAGACACCACUCAACAUAUAACACUAAAUUUUCUUACCUGUGACAAGGCACUAAUAAAAUUAUUUACCUAUUAUAUGCGCUAGAAGGGGCUCAGGCUUAUGACUUGCUUAGACCAGUUCUUGCUACAAAGUAAGCACUCAGUAAAUUAUCACUAGUGUUGCAAGUAUCAACCAAGGAAUGGAGAAUGUUCUCCAUCCCUGCCUCUCCAUCCCGACAGCUCAAAGUGAGGCUGGUUAACAAGAAAGCAAACCACCAAAAUCUCUUUCAGUUUCUUAUGGAAGUGAUCACAGUGGCUCUUAACUCAUCAUCCACUUGGAUGUAAGCAUUCUGCACCAAGCAGUUUCCUUCUAGAAACUGGAAAAAGGAGGCAGACAACACUUUUCUGUUUUCCUCUUGGAAAAGAUAAACUUCAUUGCAUCUGUAAACACAGACUGACAGCAUCUGAUGGAUGAGCUUGUAUAACCACGGCCUAGGGCUGCAGCAUCCUGACCCACACUACCUCAGCGUCCCUCGUGCAGGACCAGAGAAGCCAGCACAGCCCUGGGAAAGGCUGUGUUUAACUGUCUGUGCCGAGUCAGCAGCUAGUGUGUGAGGAUGGCUAUUUGUGGGAGGCGCCCAAGAGUGGCUGUUAUUUUAAAAGAAAUUCUCAUAGAAAAAAAAAUCACUGGAUUUAAAAUAAAUAAAUGGGCUCAUGGAAGUUGAAUAAAAUUGUAAUGUAAGUGAAACGCUGAGUGUUGGAUCAUGUCCACCCACCACUGAUGAAGACAGCUGUCACAAGCUCUGAGUUUUCAGUUCUUUCAGGAUUCACAUGAUAAUAAUGGUAAUAAAAAAAAGAAUGCUUUCAAAAUAAUAGUUCAUGUCAUUGAUAAUGCUUGCUCAUAAAAUUGAAAAGGUAGCUUGCUUUGGGCACACACACAUGACUGGCUCUAAUAAUAGAAAAGAUGCACACAUAUGCUUUGUUUUAUUUAUUCACAUUCUAACAUCUCUGAAAUUGGUAUGCAUAUUAAAAUG